RNAcentral lists this ribosomal RNA (433 nucleotides) under uncultured bacterium. Its description in RNAcentral is "partial 16S ribosomal RNA". It matches the Rfam family "Bacterial small subunit ribosomal RNA", at positions 29 to 507 of the family's 1533-position model. The record is from RNAcentral.
AGCGAACGCUGGCGGCAGGCCUAACACAUGCAAGUCGAACGAACUCUUCGGAGUUAGUGGCGGACGGGUGAGUAACACGUGGGAACGUGCCUUUUGGUUCGGAAUAACUCAGGGAAACUUGUGCUAAUACCGAAUGUGCCCUUCGGGGGAAAGAUUUAUCGCCAUUAGAGCGGCCCGCGUCUGAUUAGCUAGUUGGUGAGGUAACGGCUCACCAAGGCGACGAUCAGUAGCUGGUCUGAGGGGAUGACCAGCCACACUGGGACUGAGACACGGCCCAGACUCCUACGGGAGGCAGCAGUGGGGAAUCUUGCGCAAUGGGCGAAAGCCUGACGCAGCCAUGCCGCGUGAAUGAUGAAUGUCUUAGGAUUGUAAAAUUCUUUCACCGGGGACGAUAAUGACGGUACCCGGAGAAGAAGCCCCGGCUAACUUCGUG